RNAcentral lists this ribosomal RNA (1372 nucleotides) under uncultured bacterium. RNAcentral's name for it is "bacterial SSU rRNA". It matches the Rfam family "Bacterial small subunit ribosomal RNA", at positions 28 to 1381 of the family's 1533-position model. The record is from RNAcentral.
GAUGAACGCUGGCGGCGUGCCUAAUACAUGCAAGUCGAGCGAACGGACGAGAAGCUUGCUUCUCUGAUGUUAGCGGCGGACGGGUGAGUAACACGUGGAUGACCUACCUAUAAGACUGGGAUAACUUCGGGAAACCGGAGCUAAUACCGGAUAAUAUUUUGAACCGCAUGGUUCAAAAGUGAAAGACGGUCUUGCUGUCACUUAUAGAUGGAUCCGCGCUGCAUUAGCUAGUUGGUAAGGUAACGGCUUACCAAGGCAACGAUGCAUAGCCGACCUGAGAGGGUGAUCGGCCACACUGGAACUGAGACACGGUCCAGACUCCUACGGGAGGCAGCAGUAGGGAAUCUUCCGCAAUGGGCGAAAGCCUGACGGAGCAACGCCGCGUGAGUGAUGAAGGUCUUCGGAUCGUAAAACUCUGUUAUUAGGGAAGAACAUAUGUGUAAGUAACUGUGCACAUCUUGACGGUACCUAAUCAGAAAGCCACGGCUAACUACGUGCCAGCAGCCGCGGUAAUACGUAGGUGGCAAGCGUUAUCCGGAAUUAUUGGGCGUAAAGCGCGCGUAGGCGGUUUUUUAAGUCUGAUGUGAAAGCCCACGGCUCAACCGUGGAGGGUCAUUGGAAACUGGAAAACUUGAGUGCAGAAGAGGAAAGUGGAAUUCCAUGUGUAGCGGUGAAAUGCGCAGAGAUAUGGAGGAACACCAGAGGCGAAGGCGACUUUCUGGUCUGUAACUGACGCUGAUGUGCGAAAGCGUGGGGAUCAAACAGGAUUAGAUACCCUGGUAGUCCACGCCGUAAACGAUGAGUGCUAAGUGUUAGGGGGUUUCCGCCCCUUAGUGCUGCAGCUAACGCAUUAAGCACUCCGCCUGGGGAGUACGACCGCAAGGUUGAAACUCAAAGGAAUUGACGGGGACCCGCACAAGCGGUGGAGCAUGUGGUUUAAUUCGAAGCAACGCGAAGAACCUUACCAAAUCUUGACAUCCUUUGACAACUUUAGAGAUAGAGCCUUCCCCUUCGGGGGACAAAGUGACAGGUGGUGCAUGGUUGUCGUCAGCUCGUGUCGUGAGAUGUUGGGUUAAGUCCCGCAACGAGCGCAACCCUUAAGCUUAGUUGCCAUCAUUAAGUUGGGCACUCUAAGUUGACUGCCGGUGACAAACCGGAGGAAGGUGGGGAUGACGUCAAAUCAUCAUGCCCCUUAUGAUUUGGGCUACACACGUGCUACAAUGGACAAUACAAAGGGCAGCGAAACCGCGAGGUCAAGCAAAUCCCAUAAAGUUGUUCUCAGUUCGGAUUGUAGUCUGCAACUCGACUACAUGAAGCUGGAAUCGCUAGUAAUCGUAGAUCAGCAUGCUACGGUGAAUACGUUCCCGGGUCU